Molecule: non-coding RNA, 34 nt
Filed under: Prorocentrum micans
Lineage: Eukaryota; Dinophyceae; Prorocentrales; Prorocentraceae
Source: RNAcentral
UUUUUUUUUUUUUUUUUUUUUUUUUUUUUUCUUC